This is a long non-coding RNA of Tarenaya hassleriana, 290 nucleotides long. RefSeq lists it as uncharacterized. The transcript is spliced from 2 exons. The record is from RefSeq and is a predicted model, not a curated record. Lineage: Eukaryota; Viridiplantae; Streptophyta; Magnoliopsida; Brassicales; Cleomaceae.
GCCACUUGAUUCAUGGGUAGAUAAAAGAAGACUUGUCGUCCCACCCCCACUUGGUCUUGUCUGUAUCUCGUCCUACAUGCACGAGGUCGCAGUCAGUAGCAAUGGCGGCGACCAUAUCAUCUUCCUCGAACUUUCUCCCUCUUUCUGCAGAAGUUACUCUCACUCCUCCCAACCUUAUUCGAUAUAACUCUGCUUUGGCAAACGUUUCUGUGCACGUUAGAGUCAAACGAGAGGAGAUUAGCAGCUUAAGUAAAGGCUAGGGCUUGAUGGGUACAAAAACUGCAGAUUGA